RNAcentral lists this ribosomal RNA (762 nucleotides) under uncultured bacterium. RNAcentral describes it as "bacterial SSU rRNA". It matches the Rfam family "Bacterial small subunit ribosomal RNA", at positions 1 to 777 of the family's 1533-position model. The record is from RNAcentral.
AAUUCGAUUAGUUUGAUCAUGGCUCAGAAUCAACGCUGGCGGCGUGCCUCAGACAUGCAAGUCGAACGAUUAAACUUUCCUUCGGGAAAGAUAUAAAGUGGCGCACGGGUGAGUAACACGUAGGUAAUGUACCUUUGGGUGGGGAAUAACAGUCGGAAACGACUGCUAAUACCGCAUAAUGCAGCGGCUCCUUAUGGAGACAGUUGUUAAAGAUUUAUCGCCUAAAGAGCAGCCUGCGGCAGAUUAGCUAGUUGGUAAGGUAAUGGCUUACCAAGGCUACGAUCUGUAGCCGACCUGAGAGGGUGGUCGGUCACACUGACACUGAAUAACGGGUCAGACUCCUACGGGAGGCAGCAGUCGGGAAUUUUGGGCAAUGGGCGAAAGCCUGACCCAGCAACGCCGCGUGAAGGAUGAAGUCUUUCGGGAUGUAAACUUCGUAAAAAUAGGAAGAAUAAAUGACGGUACUAUUUGUAAGGUCCGGCUAACUACGUGCCGGCAGCCGCGGUAAUACGUAGGGACCAAGCGUUGUUCGGAUUUACUGGGCGUAAAGGGCGCGUAGGCGGCGUGGCAAGUCACUUGUGAAAUCUCCGGGCUUAACUCGGAACGGUCAAGUGAAACUGUCGUGCUAGAGUACAGAAAGGGUAAUCGGAAUUCUUGGUGUAGCGGUGAAAUGCGUAGAUAUCAAGAGGAACACCAGAGGCGAAGGCGGAUUACUAGGCUGAUACUGACGCUGAGGCGCGAAAGCUAGGGUAGCAAACGGGA